AAUCUUCUCGAAUCACGCAUACAAAAACUAGAGAAACUUUCGCUUCAGUGUAUUGAAAGUACCUGUCAAACCAGGAACUUCGUUCGCGCGCGGGUGAAAACAAACAUGUGCUUUCGACCGAAAUCACCGGCUCCGAUCCCGAAACUUUAUGGAGAUACGUCCCUCGGGGAAGCGCUAAACAUCUCCCAGAAGAGUUGUUCGCCACCGCGACGGAGGAAACGCCGAUGACGGUGGAAUACAUUUCCGUUGAGCUACGAGGACGAACAAAGACCGUUGGAAACGGCCUAAACCUACAAUCACCGGCGGUCGAACGCCUGCAGCGUAAAUUUCCCGUACACAGAAUGCAGCAGGGCACUGCAGUGAUGGCUGCAGAACUCCGUUACUGUAUCACCGGGUGUGCUGUUCCUGGCAAUGGAAAAAAGCAAUUCGAAACACCUAGCUCUUAUCAAAUUUGAAAGCACUUCUUGCAACCAUGGCUAGCUAAUGGCGCCAUAAUUAAAAAACCUACUUGGAGCAGCUACUGUCUCAUCCAUCAAAUGAUUAAUAUUUUUAUACAUACUUUUGUGUAAUAUUCAUUAAAAAUUCGGUGGGUGGGCUGGGGUGUUUCAUUGGACUCUAUAAACUAUCCGAAAUUACACUGGGAUUCUGAUUAGGGCUGCUAGAGUAUAAAUAUAGCCGCCACAAUGAUCGCUCUUCAUUAUAGUAGAGGUUUCUUGAGCACAAAUCUGUUGUGGAAAUUGUUUCAAUUUUCUUCCAGGUUUUCUUAAUGUUUCAAUUAUGCCUGGUUUACAUUGUUCAACUGAAACGAGCAUUUCAGCAUUGAUGUGUUUACACUUAGCAAAUGUCUUGAGUGUCCACUUGAAUCAAGUCACUUGCACCAUGUAACCCAGGCAUUAGAUGGAUCACUACCUAUGCCCUUGUAUGUUGCGAGAUGACGCAUAACUAGUAAACGAGCUUCAACAUGUAUUUACUUUACUUCUAAAUUGUUCUUUGAGUAAUUCAUGCAUGCUAUCAACAGUACUCGAAUCUUUUACCUAUUCCACUCGUAGCACCUUUGUGGCGAAACAUCUUCGAGUAUUAGAAAGCAGAAUAAUCUCGACAGGGCUAUUUUGAGCUCUUUUCCGCUCUAACUCAGUCAAUUUUGAUCCAAUUUUUAAAUAAAAAGUUGCGAUGCGUUGAUUAGGAUUGCUAUGAGAUUUGGGAGCUUGGGUCAUUGUGGCCGCCAUUUUGGGAUUCAAACGAGCUUGUCCUUAACAAAACAAAUCAAACUAGCAAAGCGAAAGUCUGAGGUUCCUCAUACAUUCGUAUUUAUAUAAAGUUCGUGAAUGCAGGUAAGCGCGCAGGUAAGUAUGUACCUAUAGGUAAAGUUUUUUAUGAUACAGCCUAAAGGAUGCCGAGUUAUUCUCCUAAUUGAACAGAUCUUGCCGCGAUUAAGGUUCACCAAGUCCUCCGAAGUUGUUUGGUGACGCAGAUUACACCCUCUUAUCGAAUAGGCCCAUUUUUCUUUGUAGUUAUUCUCUAAUUUAGUAGAUCUUGGCGCGAUGAAGGUUCACCAAGUCCUCCGAAGUUGUUUGGUGACGUAGAUUACAUCCGCUUAUCAAAUAUGCCAGUUUAUCUUUGUACUUAAUCUCUAAUUUAGUAGAUCUUGCCGCGAUGAAGGUUCACCAAGUCCUCCGAAGUUGUUUGGUGACGCAGAUUAC
Aedes albopictus (Asian tiger mosquito) is the source of this 1700-nucleotide long non-coding RNA. RefSeq lists it as uncharacterized. The transcript is spliced from 3 exons. The record is from RefSeq and is a predicted model, not a curated record. Lineage: Eukaryota; Metazoa; Arthropoda; Insecta; Diptera; Culicidae.